Molecule: ribosomal RNA, 951 nt
Filed under: Halichondria panicea
Lineage: Eukaryota; Metazoa; Porifera; Demospongiae; Suberitida; Halichondriidae
Description: SSU rRNA
Rfam family: Eukaryotic small subunit ribosomal RNA
Source: RNAcentral
AACCUGGUUGAUCCUGCCAGUAGUCAUAUGCUUGUCUCAAAGACUAAGCCAUGCAUGUCUAAGUAUAAACGCUUCUAUACUGUGAAACUGCGAAUGGCUCAUUAAAUCAGUUAUAGUUUAUUUGAUGGUUUCUUACUACUUGGAUAACCGUGGUAAUUCUAGAGCUAAUACAUGCACAAAGUCCCGACUCUUCGGAAGGGAUGUAUUUAUUAGAUCCAAAACCAAUGCGAGUCUCUCGGGGCUCGGUUUCUUGGUGAUUCAUGAUAACUGCUCGAACCGUAUGGCCCUUGCGCCGACGGUGCUUCAUUCAAAUUUCUGCCCUAUCAACUUUCGAUGGUACGGUAGUGGCCUACCAUGGUUGCAACGGGUGACGGAGAAUUAGGGUUCGAUUCCGGAGAGGGAGCCUGAGAAACGGCUACCACAUCCAAGGAAGGCAGCAGGCGCGCAAAUUACCCAAUCCCGACUCGGGGAGGUAGUGACAAUAAAUAACAAUGCCGGGCUAUUGUAGUCUGGCAAUUGGAAUGAGUACAAUCUAAAUCCCUUAACGAGGAACAAUUGGAGGGCAAGUCUGGUGCCAGCAGCCGCGGUAAUUCCAGCUCCAAUAGCGUAUAUUAAAGUUGUUGCAGUUAAAAAGCUCGUAGUUGGAUUUCGGGGUGGCCUGCCUGGUCCACCGCAAGGUGAGUACUGGUCAGCCGCCCUUCCUCUCGAAAGCCCCGACUGCUCUUCACUGCAGUGGUCGGGGUAGUUCGGGACGUUUACUUUGAAAAAAUUAGAGUGUUCAAGGCAGGCUAUCGCCUGAAUACAUUAGCAUGGAAUAAUGGAAGAGGACCUCGGUCCUAUUUUGUUGGUUUCUAGGGCCGAAGUAAUGAUUAAGAGGGACAGUUGGGGGCAUUCGUAUUUAAUUGUCAGAGGUGAAUUCUUGGAUUUAUGAAAGACGAACUAGUGCGAAAG